This 492-nucleotide ribosomal RNA is filed under the name uncultured bacterium. Its description in RNAcentral is "partial 16S ribosomal RNA". It matches the Rfam family "Bacterial small subunit ribosomal RNA", at positions 29 to 507 of the family's 1533-position model. The record is from RNAcentral.
AGUGAACGCUGGCGGUAGGCCUAACACAUGCAAGUCGAACGGCAGCACAGUAAGAGCUUGCUCUUACGGGUGGCGAGUGGCGGACGGGUGAGGAAUACAUCGGAAUCUACUUUUUCGUGGGGGAUAACGUAGGGAAACUUACGCUAAUACCGCAUACGACCUACGGGUGAAAGCAGGGGUUCUUCGGACCUUGCGCGAUUGAAUGAGCCGAUGUCGGAUUAGCUAGUUGGCGGGGUAAAGGCCCACCAAGGCGACGAUCCGUAGCUGGUCUGAGAGGAUGAUCAGCCACACUGGAACUGAGACACGGCCCAGACUCCUACGGGAGGCAGCAGUGGGGAAUAUUGGACAAUGGGCGCAAGCCUGAUCCAGCCAUACCGCGUGGGUGAAGAAGGCCUUCGGGUUGUAAAGCCCUUUUGUUGGGAAAGAAAAGCAGCAGGUUAAUACCCCGCUGUUCUGACGGUACCCAAAGAAUAAGCACCGGCUAACUUCGUG